Molecule: ribosomal RNA, 497 nt
Filed under: uncultured bacterium
Lineage: Bacteria
Description: partial 16S ribosomal RNA
Rfam family: Bacterial small subunit ribosomal RNA
Source: RNAcentral
GAUGAACGCUGGCGGCGUGCCUAAUACAUGCAAGUCGAGCGAACAGACGAGGAGCUUGCUCCUCUGACGUUAGCGGCGGACGGGUGAGUAACACGUGGAUAACCUACCUAUAAGACUGGGAUAACUUCGGGAAACCGGAGCUAAUACCGGAUAAUAUAUUGAACCGCAUGGUUCAAUAGUGAAAGACGGUUUUGCUGUCACUUAUAGAUGGAUCCGCGCCGCAUUAGCUAGUUGGUAAGGUAACGGCUUACCAAGGCAACGAUGCGUAGCCGACCUGAGAGGGUGAUCGGCCACACUGGAACUGAGACACGGUCCAGACUCCUACGGGAGGCAGCAGUAGGGAAUCUUCCGCAAUGGGAGAAAGCCUGACGGAGCAACGCCGCGUGAGUGAUGAAGGUCUUCGGAUCGUAAAACUCUGUUAUUAGGGAAGAACAAAUGUGUAAGUAACUAUGCACGUCUUGACGGGACCUAAUCAGAAAGCCACGGCUAACUACGUG